Molecule: ribosomal RNA, 1095 nt
Filed under: Triticum aestivum (bread wheat)
Lineage: Eukaryota; Viridiplantae; Streptophyta; Magnoliopsida; Poales; Poaceae
Description: partial small subunit ribosomal RNA
Source: RNAcentral
AUGUCCGCCGCGUACGACCGCACGGCCGACCUCCGAGCGCUGGACGCCACCUGCUCCGGCGUCCACGGCCUCGCCGCCUCCGGCAUCACGCAGCUCCCCCGUAUUUUCCGCGCCCCCGACCACCACCACGAAUCACGGCCACCGCAAGCUCUCUUCCAAGAAUCGCCCUCGUCAUCGGCGUCCAUUCCGGUGAUUGACGUCGGUAGCCCCGACCGCGCCGCCGUGGUGGCUGCCGUCGGCCGGGCCGCGGCGGAGUGGGGAUUCUUCCAGGUGACGGGUCACGAUGUGCUUCUCGAGUCUAUGGCCGCGGCGACGGACGCUACGCGGGUAUUCCACGAGGCCGACGGCUGCGAGGGCAGUGACAAGGCCAGGCUCUACUCGCGUGCGCCUGACAAGGCGGUCAAGUACCACUGCAACUUCGACCUGCACCAGUCGCCCGUGGCGAACUGGCGCGACACGCUCUACCUCCGCAUGGCCCCUGACCCGCCCGACCGCGGCGACCUGCCGGACAGCUGCCGCGAUGUGUUGUUCGAAUACGCCAAGCAAUUAAAGAUGUUGGGGAAGACUUUGUUCGAUCUGCUCUCGGAAGCUCUUGGGCUCAAACCGAGCUACCUGACAGAUAUAGAGUGCAACCAAGGACAGGUGAUAGUAUGUCACUACUACCCUCCAUGCCCCCAGCCUGAACUCGCCAUCGGGACAAGCCGGCAUUCAGACUAUGGCUUCCUAACCAUACUUCUCCAAGACGAAAUUGGUGGCCUUCAAGUCCUCCAUGAUGACCGGUGGGUCGAUGUCACACCGACACCUGGAGCUUUCAUCGUGAACAUCGGUGAUCUCUUACAGCUGGUCUCCAACGACGGGUUCAGGAGUGUGGAACAUAGAGUUUUGGCGAAGAACACUGCGCCGAGGGUAUCGAUCGCGUGCUUCUUCAGCACGCAGUUCCACCCUGCCUCGACAAGGAUGUAUGGUCCAAUCAAGGAAUUGUUGUCCAAUGAGAAUCCACCGUUGUACAGGGAGACACUUGUAAGAGAUUACGUGAAGCAUUACUUCUCCAUCGGGUUAGAUGGGAAAACUGCGAUCUCUGAUUUCAGGUUGUGA